Non-coding RNA from Anas platyrhynchos (mallard), 1784 nucleotides. Lineage: Eukaryota; Metazoa; Chordata; Aves; Anseriformes; Anatidae. The record is from RefSeq and is a predicted model, not a curated record.
CAUUGGACCCUCGGACAGCCUCACCUGAGCAUCUUCUUGCGUUGGAGGAAGGCACAGAGAGCGGGUAGGAGGAAUCAAGCCCCGGUGGGCAGGAGCAGGCCAGCUGAUGGGAACAGCAACACGGGGACUUUGGGAGCUGCAAGUCCCAACAAACACUGCAGCAGUGGCAACAAUUCCGCUUUUGUUGAGGGACAUGCGAGUCUGUUUGUUUGGGCACGGGCUGUGGCCCUUUGUGUUAACAAUACAAGCUUUUGUUUCAGCACAGCUUUUGAAGUCAGAAGGCAGCAUUGGUCCAGGUUCUAAAGCCAAUUUGCUUUAAAUGAGGCUUAAAGGAGCAAAUGGGGCCCUUGAAGCUCCUGUGCAGCCCUACGCUGUUGGUAACACCGUUGAAGGUAACGUUGAACAGUAACACAGCUGCCCACGGCUUGUGCUUGUUGUCAGCAGCUGAAUCUCUCCAGAAAAGGAGAAUUUCAGUGGAUAUCAAGUCUGAAUGUCCAAGCAAUAAUCCCCUGCAGCCUGGUCGUGCACCCCUCAGAGACGAGGUCCAAGCUUCUGCACUGGUGUGUCUUCCCUGAAUGCCCCUGUGAUGAAGCCAAGGCUUCGUUUCAGCCCUGAGGAGCCUAACAAACACCAAACGGCCAUCAGUGUUCAAGGUUUUAAGGAUUUGUUAGGUGAGAAGUGUUUGGAGGUAUCCAGAUAUCCCAUCCUUGAAUGCUCUGGGGACUCUCAGGGUGAGGUGGAACAGAUCUGUGAAGGCAUCGGAGCGCUUCUGCAACACGCCUUCCCUUUGGGUUUCAUCUGGGAGCCAAAGCAGGGGACUUCAAAGCUCCAAGAAGCACGUUCCUGAGCUAAAAUGAAGCUCAGAUGUGGACAGAGGACCAAGCUUCAGAUGCAGGCAGGUUAAAAGAGGGUUUCCUGGCUGCUCCUGCUCCCAGGUACUUGUGCCAACGUCCUCAGCUCUGCCGCACGGGUGGUUAAGCUCCCACGGAGCAGCUGCUCAACAGCUGCAGCUUACUCAUCCCAUAUGAAAGAAACCCCCAAAUCUCUGUGAAAUUUCCAGGGGUUUAACAGCUGCUGCCUGAGCCAGGCUGUCUGUGCCAUGUACACGGGGACGCUGUUGGGGGGAAGAGGCAGGCCAGACAGCUGGGAGCUGUCAUUCCUACAGCCGCUUACUUUUUCAUCUGCCUUUACUCACGUCAGAGCCUUCUGAGUGCAAAUUGGAGAGCGGAGAGGGCCUUUGGAUUGCUUUUCCUCCCCUUUUCUCACCCCAGCCCCGCGAUCGCGGUGCGUCGUGGGAGCCAAAGCCUGUCACCAAAGGAUUUAUUUCAGGGGAGGCUUGUCGCUGGGACAGACCCCGGGAUGUGCUGGAUCUUCUGGGAAGGCCGAGGUGUCCUGCAGAGACGAGAAACUCUUGAGGGAGGAGAGCCACUAAAAAUCAGGAAAUUGGUUGUGUACUUUGAAAAACCCACGCGGAGCCAUUUGCCAGAGGUUCUGGAGGGUGUUUAAAAUAUCCCCACAUUAACAGGCUGUGGUGUGACCGACUGGCCAGCCGUGUUUGCCUGGGGAGAGGAAAGGUUUUAUGCCCAGGACGUAGCGGGGAAAAGUCUGGGUCACCGGCAGGGUUUCGUUUACCUCAGUCAAUAAUGAAGUGGAGGAUAAAAUCUGUGGUAUUGCUGGGAUUUCACCUAAAAAUGCCUUGUGCAAAGACUUACUUUUAUUUCCUGGCGUUUUGCAUUCUCUCUGCAUUUAGAAAAAUAAAACGAGUCAUUAAUCCUUAAUCAAAA